Molecule: ribosomal RNA, 406 nt
Filed under: uncultured bacterium
Lineage: Bacteria
Description: partial 16S ribosomal RNA
Rfam family: Bacterial small subunit ribosomal RNA
Source: RNAcentral
AUUGAACGCUGGCGGCAGGCCUAACACAUGCAAGUCGAACGAGUGGCGGACGGGUGAGUAAUGUCUGGGAAACUGCCUGAGGGAGGGGGAUAACUACUGGAAACGGUAGCUAAUACCGCAUACAAUCAGAUGUGCCCAGAGGGGAUUAGCUAGUUGGUGGGGUACAGGCUCACCAAGGCGACGAGCCCUAGCUGGUCUGAGAGGAUGACCAGCCCCACUGGAACUGAGGCACGGUCCAGCCUCCUACGGGAGUCAGCAGUGGGGAAUAUUGCACAAUGGGCGCAAGCCUGAUGCAGCCAUGCCGCGUGUAUGAAGAAGGCCUUCGGGUUGUAAAGUACUUUCAGCGGGGAGGCGUUACCCGCAGAAGAAGCACCGGCUAACUCCGUGCCAGCAGCCGCGGUAAUAC